This 490-nucleotide ribosomal RNA is filed under the name uncultured Levilinea sp. Its description in RNAcentral is "bacterial SSU rRNA". It matches the Rfam family "Bacterial small subunit ribosomal RNA", at positions 910 to 1382 of the family's 1533-position model. Lineage: Bacteria; Bacillati; Chloroflexota; Anaerolineae; Anaerolineales; Anaerolineaceae. The record is from RNAcentral.
GCCACGCCCGCUACAGAAACUUAAGGAAGUUCGACGGGCCCCGCACAAGCAGCGGAGCGUGUGGUUUAAUUCGAUGCUACACGAAGAACCUUACCAGGGUUUGACAUACAAGUAGUAGGGAAAGGAAACUGGACCGACCCUUCGGGGAGCUUGAACAGGUGCUGCAUGGCUGUCGUCAGCUCGUGUCGUGAGAUGUUCGGUUAAGUCCGCUAACGAGCGCAACCCUCGCUGUGUGUUACAAGUGUCACACGGAACUGCCGGUCAUAAACCGGAGGAAGGUGGGGAUGACGUCAAGUCAGCAUGGCCUUUAUAUCCUGGGCUACACACACGCUACAAUGGGAAGGGACAAUAGGUUGCGAAACCGCGAGGUGGAGCCAAUCCAGCAAAACCUCCCUCAGUUCAGAUUGCAGGCUGCAACUCGCCUGCAUGAAGUUGGAGUUGCUAGUAAACGCAGGUCAGCCAUACUGCGUUGAAUACGUUCCCGGGGCUU